Molecule: long non-coding RNA, 2864 nt
Filed under: Marmota monax (woodchuck)
Lineage: Eukaryota; Metazoa; Chordata; Mammalia; Rodentia; Sciuridae
Source: RNAcentral
ACCAAAAUCAGGAACAAGGAAAGAAUGUCCCCUCCCACCACUGUUUUUCAAUAUCACACUGAAAUUCCUCACUAACACAAUAAGAAAAUGAAAUAAAAGGUAUCUGGAGUGAAAGAAAGAAAACUGUAUUUUUUUAAUGAAUGACAUGACUGUCUACAUAGAAAACCUGUAAGAAAUGACCAAAAAACUCCUAAAACUAAAAAAAUAUAUAGAAAGGUUACAGGAUAAAAGGUUACUAUAUAAGUCAGUUUAUUUCCUAUGUAUCAACAAUAAUUUGAAAUUACAACAUGAUGCCACUUACAUUGGCACCAAACAAUGAAAUACUUAGGAUAAAUCUAAAUGAUAUAUAAGAUCUAUAUGAGGAAGAGUACAGAACUCUGACAAAAGAAAUUUAAAAAGAACUUAAAAAUAGAUAUUCUAUGUUCCUCAAUAGGAAGAGUCAGUGUUGUUCCAUGUCAGUUCUUCACCAUUUGGCCUACAAAUUCAAUGCAAUCUCAGUCAAAACCCCAGCCAGGUGUUUUGCAGACAUGGAUCAACUGAUUUUAAAACUUACAUGGAAAGGCACAAAGUCAGAAGAGCCAGCCCAGUACUGAAGCAUAACAAAGGGCUGGAGACCCGACCCCGUCCAACUUGAAGACUGACUAAUGAGGUAUCUUAAUAAGACAGCGAGGAACUAGUGAGAGAAUGGAUAAACAGUCCAGGGGAACAGAAGACAAGUACAUAGAAAGACUCACAUAAAAGUCAGCUGCUCUGCCAGAUGUGUUCCCAGCAACUAGAAGGCUGAGGUAAGAGGAUCAGAAAUUUGAGGCCAGUCUCAACUUAGCAAGGCCCUAAGCAACUUAGAGAGAUCUCAUCUCAAAAUGAAAAUUUAAAAAAGGGGCUGGGGAUGCGACUCAGUAGUUAAGCACCUUUGGGCCCAAUCCCCAGUACCAGAAAAAAAAAAAAAAGUCAAACUAUCUUUGAAAAAGCAGUAAAGACAAUGGAGCUACAAGAACUUUUUCAACAGAACUGAACAUCUGGAUAUCUGCACACCAAACAAAGUAAGAGAAAUCUCACAGCCUUCACGUAAAUUAACUGAACAUGUACCGCAGACUAAAUGCCAAAUGUAAAAUGAUAGAAUUCCUAGAAGAUAACACAGGAGAAAAUAUGGAUGACUUUGGGUUUGUUUACUUUUUUUAGAGAGCAUCAAAAAUGAAAUCCAUGAUAACUAGCUAAAUUUACUUAAAAUGCAAAAUUUCUGCUCUGUGAAGGACACUGUGCUAAGAAUGAAAGGCCACAGACCAAAAGAUUUGCAAAAGAAACAUCUGAUAAAGAACUGUUAUGUGUAACAUCAAAAGGUGUCUUAAAUAUACAAGAAUUCUUAAAAAUCAAGAAGAAAUCAACCAACAUAAUUUAAAAAUAAGUCAAAGAUGGAAACAUUAAAGAUAUGAAGAUGGAAAAUAAACACAUGAAAAGAUGCUCUAUAUCAUGUCAUUAGGGAAAUGCAAAUCAAAACAAGACACUUCUACAUGGAACAGAUGCCACUAUGUGCUGAUGAAAUGUGGAGUAGCAGAGGACUCUCUGCUGGUGGGAAUAAACAGUGAAACAGCACCACGGAAGGCAGUCUGGCCGUUUUCUACAAAGCCAAACACCCUUGUCAUAUGACCCAAUAGUACAGAUCUUUAGUACUGACCCAAAGACAUCAAAAACCUGCCACACAAAACCCUGGACAUGGACGUUUAUAGCAGCUACAGUUAAAACUGCAAAAACUUGGAAGCCACCAAGAGAUCCUUAAGGAGAUGAAUAUAUAAAUAAAAUAUUGCUGCACAUUGAAUGAUUCCUAUUAUAUGGUAUUUUGAAAAAACAAAAUUAUGGAAAUGGUAAAAAGAUCAGUGAUCUUUAGGGGCUGGAAACGGAAAGGAUGAAUAGAGGACUUUAACAGCAAAGGAAAUACUCUGCAUGGUGCCCUCAUGAUGAAUACAUGUUACUCUGCAUUUGUCCAGUCUGUUAUGUGUAACACCAAGAGUAAACACAAGAUAAACUUAGUGACUAUGGGCGAUUAUGAUGUGCAGGCAUAAAUUUAAUGGCAAUAAUCGUACCACUCUGGUGAGAAAUACUGAUAAUAAGGGAGAGCAUGCAUUAUGGUUUAGCUGUUAGGUGUCCACCAAAAGUUCAUGUGUGAGACAAUGCAAAAAAAUUCAGACAUGAAGUGAGUGGGUCAUAAGUUUUAACCAAAUCAUAAUCCCCUGACAGGGAUUCAUUGGGUGAUAACUGUAGGCAGGUAGGGUAUGGCCGGAGGUAGUUCACUGGGGCAUGCCUUUGAGGUUUGUAUUUUGACCCUGGUGAGUGAGCACUCUGUCUGCUUCCUGGCAUGUCCUGGGCCACUUUCCUCCUCCACUCCUCUGCCACAAUGUUCUGCCUUACCCUGGGCCCAACGCAAUGGAGCCAGCUAUCUACGGACUGAGACCUUUGAAACUGUGAUGCUUAAAUAAACUUUUCCUCCUCUAAAACUGUUACUGUCAGCAAUGAAAAGCUGACUAAAACAGUAUUCGUGUGCAACAACAGGAGUAUUUGGGAAAUCUCUGUACUUUGCUGUCAAUUUUACUAUAAGCUUAAAAGUGCUCUAAAAACAAAAACCGACUUUAAUAAAAAUAUUUAAGUAAAAAGAUAAAUCUCCUCAUGAUAGUAUUUCUUUUACAUAAUCCUACCAUUUAUGUUCCACCUCAGCAACUGGCACUUCCACACUUUCAUUUAUUAAUGCCAAAAAUGUUGAGGUCAUUCCUGAUUGCUCUCUUACCAUAUCCAGCAGAAAAUCAUCCCUGUUGACAAGAGACUGAGAAACUCCACUCCGCCCCCCACUUCAGAUUCACAGGUAUGUAGGCUCC